UGCUGGUUGGCGUUAAGUAAGCCCAGCUGUUUACGCUGGAGAAACAAGGGGGACAGAACUCUAAAUUAUUAGUAUGGUAUCUUUAGAAUGACAGGCAGUGGGGCUAUUGCUUGGCUUCUUUAAAAAAAGCAAGUUGGGUAGGCGCCUGUGAAUUCCCCUCCUUUUCCUGUUGGCCUUGACAGCAACUCCUCAAGCCCAGUGAGAUGAUGUCAUAAAACCGGCUCAACCUGUGGAAGGAUCAUGUACAAUCCAGUCUCCGUGGAGUUCUGCCUGCAGCUGUCCACUGAGACAGGCAGAGGACCCAAGCCUGGAGGGUGGCAGCUCUGGGGCAGGUGCAUGGAGACCUGUGGCGAGGGGCAAAGGUGCAGUGAGAAACGGCUGACAGCGGCACUGGAAUCUUUUCUUCAAGAGAAGUAUUUCAUGGAGGUCGCGGACGCAAUACGUAUAAAAGCAGCACACUGUGACAAGUAGGAGAGACAGAUGGAUCCCUACCAUCCAGGCUUUCCCUUCUCCCUACGGCUCGCGGGUACACAGGGGAAAACGGAGAAGCGCCCGGUGGGAAAACCAAGUGAUCGUUUACUUCAAAGCACUGAGUCAGGGCAGUGGAGAAGCGAUGUCCGAAAAUAUGACACUUGCACUUCCGAGAGUUUCAGAUGCUCCCAUUUUGGCAAGAACAAACAAACCAAUGAAAGAACAAUAAAUUCAACUGUGCAAUCAUAGACAGAUUCCAAACAAGGAAAUGCGUGCGUGUAUGCUAGACGCUGAAAGCUACAGGGUUGAUUGCUAAUAAAAUGUCUGUGGAAUCAAAAUAACGUCAGAAAGUUCUUUUAGAAUAUUAAUAAACCGUCAAAAGUAUAUCUCCUGCCUCAAGAUGCGGCUUGUUGCCUGCAAAGAGUUUCCCACAUAUUCUGGAACAAGAGGGAAGUUCGCCUUUGCAGCAGGACAGCUAAGGGAGUGGCUGGGAGGAAGGGAGAAAGCUGUCUUUCCCUCUCUCUUCGUUGUGGCGGGGAUAAAAGAAACGCUCCAGGGCCUCGUCCGUGACUUUCGUCCUUCGAGAGGGCCAGGGGCGCAGGCCGGCUCCAGCCUGCCUUUAGUCAGGCUCUGUGAAUAGCUCUCCGUCCCUGAAUGACGUGAGCGCAGGCUCCAGGGGGAGCGGGUGACUCAGAGCGCAGGAGGCGCGGAGAGUGCGGAGCAGCCAUUAGCACGUCAUUGGUAAUCCCAGCGACACCUUUCACAUCCGCGGUAUUUGUC
RNAcentral lists this long non-coding RNA (1251 nucleotides) under Equus caballus (horse). RNAcentral's name for it is "lncRNA (ENSECAG00000036902.2)". Lineage: Eukaryota; Metazoa; Chordata; Mammalia; Perissodactyla; Equidae. The record is from RNAcentral.